This is a long non-coding RNA of Lynx canadensis (Canada lynx), 298 nucleotides long. RefSeq lists it as uncharacterized. The transcript has 3 exons. NCBI's taxonomy places the organism in Eukaryota, Metazoa, Chordata, Mammalia, Carnivora, Felidae. The record is from RefSeq and is a predicted model, not a curated record.
UCUCACCUUGUUGGUUGGCCGUUCUUUCAGGAAUUCUCUGUUGUACUCUCCAUUGCAGUGAUUUUCAUCUGCAAAAUAACGCAUGAAUAGUAUGGUACUAUAUAAGAAUGGACAGAUAGAUCACUAUGCUACUGUACGCAAACAUCAGACUAAAGAGAUCUCAACAUGAAUGACUAUUUUGCCUAAAUUUAUACUCACAGACUUGGAGUAAGAUGGAGGUAUGAAAUGAACAUAAGCUUUCAAAUGAGAUUAUUUGUAACAUAAAAACAAAUUGAUCCCACUUAAUAAAUUACCAAUA